This 382-nucleotide ribosomal RNA is filed under the name uncultured eukaryote. RNAcentral describes it as "partial 18S ribosomal RNA". It matches the Rfam family "Eukaryotic small subunit ribosomal RNA", at positions 592 to 976 of the family's 1831-position model. The record is from RNAcentral.
UGUAAGCGUAUACCAAAGUUGUUGCAGUUAAAACGCUCGUAGUCGGAAUUUGGCAGUUCCGGAUGUAUGCACGUCGUGUGCGCACUUCGCGGGGAUUGCUUUUGUGGUCUUGCGUAGGAUGAGGCACUUUUAUUAGUGAACGUCCUCACGCAACCACUUUUUACUGUGAGAAAAUCAGAGUGCUCAAAGCAGGCAUUUGCCGUGAAUGUAUUAGCAUGGAAUAAUAGAAUAGGACUUGGUUCUAUUUUGUUGGUUUGUUGGGACUGAGUAAUGAUUAAGAGGGACAGUUGGGGGCAUUUGUAUUUCGGUGCUAGAGGUGAAAUUCUUAGAUUACCGAAAGACAAACUGCUGCGAAAGCGUCUGCCAAGGAUGUUUUCAUUGA